Molecule: non-coding RNA, 76 nt
Organism: Phthorimaea operculella (potato tuberworm)
Lineage: Eukaryota; Metazoa; Arthropoda; Insecta; Lepidoptera; Gelechiidae
Source: the annotation of a GenBank genome assembly
GCCGCGGUAGCCCAGUUGGUACAGGCUUCGGCACUACAGAUGCCAAAAGUCGCAGGUUCAAAUUCUAUCCGCGGCG